RNAcentral lists this transfer RNA (83 nucleotides) under Candidatus Criblamydia sequanensis CRIB-18. RNAcentral describes it as "Criblamydia sequanensis CRIB-18 tRNA". It matches the Rfam family "tRNA". From Rfam's summary of the family: Transfer RNA (tRNA) molecules are approximately 80 nucleotides in length. Their secondary structure includes four short double-helical elements and three loops (D, anti-codon, and T loops). Lineage: Bacteria; Pseudomonadati; Chlamydiota; Chlamydiia; Parachlamydiales; Candidatus Criblamydiaceae. The record is from Rfam by way of RNAcentral.
GCUCGGGUGGUGGAAUGGUAGACACUAGGGACUUAAAAUCCCUUGGGCUUCGGCCCGUGCGGGUUCGAGUCCCGCCCCGAGUA